Long non-coding RNA from Ictidomys tridecemlineatus (thirteen-lined ground squirrel), 556 nucleotides. RefSeq lists it as uncharacterized. The record is from RefSeq and is a predicted model, not a curated record. Lineage: Eukaryota; Metazoa; Chordata; Mammalia; Rodentia; Sciuridae.
GUCUGUUCAGGAGCAUGGACAUCAGAGGUGAGAGUCACUGCGGAGAUUGGGGACCACAGCUGGGUCAAGAGCAAGAUGGAACCAGAAAGAGCACAAGGACAAAUCUACCCAGAAGUUGGCCUCUUUGCCAGGGUACUGUCCCUCCCUAAGACCACCCGCCAUGUUGCCAGGGGGAGUUGUCAUGGAAGCACAAUAGAGCAACCUCUCUCCUGGAGCCUGCGUGUCUUCAUUUAACCUGUUUCCUGAGCCUGUACUGAUCUUCCUUUGCACGAGCGCCUGCCAAAGUCUCAUUACUCACAUGCCUUUCAGAGAAAUCCCACAGAGACUUCAGACCUCCACUCACCUACACAGAAGCCUCUAGAUAGUCCUACACUAAGGCAAGUUCCUUGGUCUUUGUAUUAUUCUGAACAUGACUUGUCUCCAUGUUGCUGAUGAUUUAAGAUAUUGGAAGUCUUCUUUGCUAACAAUUUAAUCUUUCAAGGGCAAAGGCUGUUUUUGUUCACCUUUGUUGCUUCUUGGUUUGUGACUCUCAAAACAUAUGUUAAAAGUAAGGAAG